GGCUGCCUGAGAGUAGCGAGUGACAGGUAAGGGCUCUGAACCUUCCUGCGUGCUACCCAAGGAGUGCCUAGGGCUACCAGGAGGCCCAGGGAGGAACCUUGAGACCUGAGAAAGGCUUUUCUUCCCCGAGAGGACCACUGCUCAGGCUCAGAGGCCAUGGGGUGAAGUGCACAAAAAAGUGGGCGUCCAGCCAUGCUCUAAGUCCCCCGAAGAUGAAGACCAGGGAGCAGCUUCCUCCAAUGAAGCAGCAGCAAUCAGAGGACCAGGAGGCUGAAGCCCUGAGCCCAGCCAGAGGCAGGAUCAGCCAAGUCUGGGACAGGCUUCAAUUAUUUUAGGGGACAUCCACCUUCUGUCUUCAAACAGCAGAGCUUCUGGUUCCUGGGCCUUCAGACUUGGACUAGAACUUCACUACCAGCUUUCCUGGGUCUCCAGCUUGCAGAGAGCAGAUCGCAGAACUUCUUAGCCUCCAUAAUCACAAGAACGUGUUUGCUUCCCCUUCCACCAUGAUUGUAAGUUUCCUGAGGCCUCCCCAGUCCUGCAGAACUGCUUUGAAGAAGACCACUGCGUCGGUAUUUGUGAAAUGUUUUGAGCCUCUGGAUUUAAAUAAGAUGGAAAACCAAAGCUCAGGGAGUUUUACAUGGGCAGGCAGCUGGUGAGGGCUGAGACUGGAGCCAGGCCAGUGGUCUUCAAAGGCUUUAGUCAAACUUUUUGACAGAUAUAAGAAAACCGAACUAAGGAAAAUACUUUCCUGGGAUCAUCCCUAUAUGAAGUGGCAGACCUGGAAUUGCUCCCUGUUUCAAAACAUCUCCCGCCCCCACCCAGGCCUGCUCAGAAGAACCCAAGCCACUCAGAAGCAGGAGGCAGCCUUCACCCCAACCAGACCAAUAUCCGUUCCAGACUCAGGAUUACAACAAUCUGGGAGAGGGUCAACCAAGUCAGAGUCCCACAUGGCAGAAGAGCUGCUUUAGCUUAAGACUCUUAACUCUUUUUCUUCGGGGCAGGAAAGGUUUGAGCCAAUGAAGGAUGAGGCUUUCCAGGCCCAGGACACAACCUUGAUCCAAGGCCUAGUUGUGGCUUUAAUUUUUGUAAAUCAAGCCUCAAGUUUUUCUUCACUCUUUUAGCCAAAGAUAUGUUUCCCAGGAUGCAUGAAAUAAAUAAAUAAAAUGUACCAAA
This 1173-nucleotide long non-coding RNA is filed under the name Homo sapiens (human). Its description in RNAcentral is "novel transcript". Lineage: Eukaryota; Metazoa; Chordata; Mammalia; Primates; Hominidae. The record is from RNAcentral.